RNAcentral lists this transfer RNA (73 nucleotides) under Monodelphis domestica (gray short-tailed opossum). It matches the Rfam family "tRNA". From Rfam's summary of the family: Transfer RNA (tRNA) molecules are approximately 80 nucleotides in length. Their secondary structure includes four short double-helical elements and three loops (D, anti-codon, and T loops). Further hydrogen bonds mediate the characteristic L-shaped molecular structure. tRNAs have two regions of fundamental functional importance: the anti-codon, which is responsible for specific mRNA codon recognition, and the 3' end, to which the tRNAs corresponding amino acid is attached (by aminoacyl-tRNA synthetases). tRNAs cope with the degeneracy of the genetic code in two manners: having more than one tRNA (with a specific anti-codon) for a particular amino acid; and 'wobble' base-pairing, i.e. permitting non-standard base-pairing at the 3rd anti-codon position. The record is from Rfam by way of RNAcentral. Lineage: Eukaryota; Metazoa; Chordata; Mammalia; Didelphimorphia; Didelphidae.
ACCUAAGUAGCCUAGCAAUCAAGGCCCUGGGCUUAGAGUCAAGAAGGCUUGAGUUCAAAUCCCACCUUAGACA